Molecule: transfer RNA, 74 nt
Filed under: Fidelibacterota bacterium
Lineage: Bacteria; Pseudomonadati; Fidelibacterota
Also listed under: 4 other names
Description: tRNA-Met
Rfam family: tRNA
About the family: Transfer RNA (tRNA) molecules are approximately 80 nucleotides in length. Their secondary structure includes four short double-helical elements and three loops (D, anti-codon, and T loops).
Source: RNAcentral
CGCGGGGUGGAGCAGUCUGGUAGCUCGUUGGGCUCAUAACCCAAAGGUCGUAGGUUCGAAUCCUACCCCCGCUA